AACGAACGCUGGCGGCAUGCCUAACACAUGCAAGUCGAACGAGACCUUCGUGUCUAGUUGCGCUCCUGUACUUAACACCUGGUAACCUGCCCUUAGGUUCCGUAUACCUCCCCGUAAGGUGUGCUCAUACCGCUUAAUCUCUUCCCACCAAAGAUUUCUGGCGUUUGGAUGGGCGCGAGUUGGUUUCGCUGGUUGGUAGGGUAAUAGCCUACCAAGGCGAGGAUCCAUGGCUGGUCUGAUAGGAGGCGAAGCCAGACUGGGACUGAGGCACGGACCAGAAUGCGACGGGAGGCAGGAGUGGGGAAUAUAGGAGAAUGGGCGAAGGCCUGAUCCAGCAAUGCCGGGUAAGUGAUGAAGGCCUUAGGGUUGUAAAGCUCUUUGACACGGGAUGAUAAUGACAGUAACGGGAGAAUAAGCACCGGCUAACUCCGUG
This 433-nucleotide ribosomal RNA is filed under the name uncultured bacterium. RNAcentral describes it as "partial 16S ribosomal RNA". It matches the Rfam family "Bacterial small subunit ribosomal RNA", at positions 29 to 507 of the family's 1533-position model. The record is from RNAcentral.